This 253-nucleotide ribosomal RNA is filed under the name uncultured bacterium. Its description in RNAcentral is "partial 16S ribosomal RNA". It matches the Rfam family "Bacterial small subunit ribosomal RNA", at positions 524 to 776 of the family's 1533-position model. The record is from RNAcentral.
UACGGAGGAUGCAAGCGUUAUCCGGAAUCAUUGGGUUUAAAGGGUCCGUAGGUGGACCGGUCAGUCAGAGGUGAAAUCCUGCAGCUUAACUGUAGAACUGCCUUUGAUACUGCCGAUCUUGAGUCAUUGUGAAGUGGUUAGAAUAAGUAGUGUAGCGGUGAAAUGCAUAGAUAUUACUUAGAAUACCGAUUGCGAAGGCAGAUCACUAACAAUGUACUGACACUGAUGGACGAAAGCGUGGGGAGCGAACGGG